This 694-nucleotide ribosomal RNA is filed under the name uncultured bacterium. RNAcentral's name for it is "bacterial SSU rRNA". It matches the Rfam family "Bacterial small subunit ribosomal RNA", at positions 56 to 749 of the family's 1533-position model. The record is from RNAcentral.
UGCAGUCGAGGGGCAGCAUAUUCUUCGGAAUGAUGGCGACCGGCGGACGGGUGCGUAACGCGUAUGCAACCUACCUGUUACAGGGAGAUAGCCCGGGGAAACUCGGAUUAAUAUUCCAUGGUACUAUUUGAUUGCAUGAUUGAGUAGUUAAAGAUUUAUUGGUAGCAGCUGGGCAUGCGUCUGAUUAGCUAGAUGGUGGUGUAAGGGACCACCAUGGCGGUGAUCAGUAGGGGGCCUGAGAGGGUGAUCCCCCACACUGGCACUGAGAUACGGGCCAGACUCCUACGGGAGGCAGCAGUAGGGAAUAUUGGUCAAUGGGCGAGAGCCUGAACCAGCCACGCCGCGUGCAGGAAGACGGCCUUCUGGGUUGUAAACUGCUUUUGGAAGGGAACAAAACGGUCAUGCGUGGCCAAUUGCGUGUACCUUCAGAAUAAGCACCGGCUAACUCCGUGCCAGCAGCCGCGGUAAUACGGAGGGUGCAAGCGUUGUCCGGAUUCAUUGGGUUUAAAGGGUGCGUAGGCGGUGCAUUAAGUCAGUGGUGAAAGCUGGCCGCUCAACGGUCGAACUGCCAUUGAUACUGGUGUACUUGAGUUUAGUCGAGGUAGGCGGAAUUUAUGGUGUAGCGGUGAAAUGCAUAGAUACCAUAAAGAACACCGAUAGUGAAGACAGUUUACCAGACUACAACUGACGCUGA